AACUCCAAAUCUAUUCAUCCCCUUUGAGGGUGAAACCUUCAAGAAAACUUUGUCUCUUAUCUCGAAACUUUGUCUCACAUCUUAUAGGUAAACUCAAUUAGUGGCAACACAUUCUCCCGAUUUACUCCUCUAUCAAGGAUAGUAGUUCCUAUAAUAUCUUCUAUCGCCUGCUAUGCUAACAUUCAUCCUUGUACCCAACUCUUUCUGUAACUCAUCCAAAAACGUGAUGUAAAUUUUUUUUUUUUCUGAGGUGAUCUACACCGGUACUCAAUGCAAUCUUAUAAUCUCACGAACGUACAAUUGUGAUAACUUAUCUGGUCCAUACGCGAUU
RNAcentral lists this long non-coding RNA (331 nucleotides) under Salvia miltiorrhiza (redroot sage). RNAcentral describes it as "long non-coding RNA (SMIL_LNC002053)". Lineage: Eukaryota; Viridiplantae; Streptophyta; Magnoliopsida; Lamiales; Lamiaceae. The record is from RNAcentral.